GACGAACGCUGGCGGCGUGCUUAACACAUGCAAGUCGAACGGAAAGGCCCUUCGGGGUACUCGAGUGGCGAACGGGUGAGUAACACGUGGGUGAUCUGCCCUGCACUUUGGGAUAAGCCUGGGAAACUGGGUCUAAUACCGAAUAGGACCACGCGCUUCAUGGUGUGUGGUGGAAAGCUUUUGCGGUGUGGGAUGGGCCCGCGGCCUAUCAGCUUGUUGGUGGGGUAAUGCCUACCAAGGCGACGACGGGUAGCCGGCCUGAGAGGGUGACCGGCCACACUGGGACUGAGAUACGGCCCAGACUCCUACGGGAGGCAGCAGUGGGGAAUAUUGCACAAUGGGCGCAAGCCUGAUGCAGCGACGCCGCGUGAGGGAUGACGGCCUUCGGGUUGUAAACCUCUUUCAAUAGGGACGAAGCGCAAGUGACGGUACCUAUAGAAGAAGCACCGGCCAACUACGUG
Molecule: ribosomal RNA, 461 nt
Filed under: uncultured bacterium
Lineage: Bacteria
Description: partial 16S ribosomal RNA
Rfam family: Bacterial small subunit ribosomal RNA
Source: RNAcentral